GGGGAUUUAGCUCAGUGGUAGAGCGCUUGCCUAGCAAGCGCAAGGCCCUGGGUUCGGUCCCCAGUUCCA
This is a non-coding RNA of Rattus norvegicus (Norway rat), 69 nucleotides long. Lineage: Eukaryota; Metazoa; Chordata; Mammalia; Rodentia; Muridae. The record is from Rfam.